UGUGUGAGCGAGCCUGCUCGCGAUGAGGGCGUGUCAGUCAACGUGUUGGUGACUGAUAGACCGCUAUCGCGAGCAGGCUCGCUCCCACA
This 89-nucleotide unclassified non-coding RNA is filed under the name Pseudomonas sp. A214. The record is from RNAcentral. Lineage: Bacteria; Pseudomonadati; Pseudomonadota; Gammaproteobacteria; Pseudomonadales; Pseudomonadaceae.